This is a long non-coding RNA of Heteronotia binoei (common prickly gecko), 254 nucleotides long. RefSeq lists it as uncharacterized. The record is from RefSeq and is a predicted model, not a curated record. The transcript has 3 exons. Lineage: Eukaryota; Metazoa; Chordata; Lepidosauria; Squamata; Gekkonidae.
GCUGGUGCUCAAGCAGGAGGAGUUAAGUUCUGAUCCUCACCUGAUGUCCAGAAGAUGGGACCAGGCAGGCUUCUGAGCAUCAUAUUUGUAGUCGGGACUGUCUAUGGCUCCAAGGAAUCUCUGGAAAUUAUCCCUAGCAAUGGGGAGGUGCAAUUGGGCGAAAAGGCCAUUUUCUUGUGCAAAGUGAGAGGAAGCGGGGAAGCUGAUUUAGUCUGGAUCGACCCCAAGGGGGAAGAAAUCUCCGAGGAAUCGGA